UAUAGCUAGGGUAAGAGCUUCAGGCUUGGAUCCGUAGCGAAAGCGAGUUUUAAAUGGCGAUAUAGUUAUAUAUAGUAGACGCGAAACCAAGUGAUCUACCCUUGACCAGGUUGAAGUUCAGGUAACACUGAAUGGAGGACCGCACGGCAGAAUGUUGAAAAAUUCCCCGAUGAGUUGAGGGUAGGGGUGAAAGGCUAAUCAAACUUGGAAAUAGCUCGUACUCCCCGAAAUGCAUUUAGGUGCAGCCUUAGAGUUUAAAUAUAAGAGGUAGAGCGACUGAUUGGAUGCGAGGGCUUCGCCGCCUAUCAAGUCCAGACAAACUCCGAAUGCUUAUAUGUACACUCUAGGAGUGAGGGCAUGGGUGCUAAGGUCCAUGUCCGAGAGGAGAAGAAUCCGGACCAUCUGCUAAGGUCCCGAAAUGACAGCUCAGUUGACUUAAACGAGGUCACGAUGCAUAGACAGCUAGGAUGUUGGCUUGGAAGCAGCCAUUCAUUUAAAGAGUGCGUAACAGCUCACUAGUCGAGGAUUGUGGCAUGGAUAAUAAUCGGGCAUAAGUUGUCUACCGAAGCAGUGGAAUCAUUUAUGAUUGGUAGGGGAGCAUUCCAGCGUGGUUGAAGAUAGAUCGACGAGGUCUGUUGGACAUUCUGGAAGUGCAAAUGUAGGUAUAAGUAACGAUAAAGGGAGUGAGAAUCUCCCUCGCCGAAAGACUAAGGUUUCCUCCUCACCGUUCGUCGGAGGAGGGUUAGUCGGGACCUAAGGGUAAUCCGUUUGGUGAUCUCGAUGGAAGAAAGGGUUAAUAUUCCCUUACUCGGUAUGUUAAGUGAUGUGGAGACGGAGAAGUGACAGUCCUGCCUACUGUUGGAAUAGUAGGUUAAAGGGUGUAGAUGUUGAUCUUGGUAGGCAAAUCCGCUGAGAGAGUCGAACCUGAUAGUAUGUGAAUCCUUCGGGUGCAGCAAUAUGGACGUAAGCAGGCUCCCAAGAAAAUCCGCUAAACGUUAAUAGCAUAUCGACCCGUACCACAAACCGACACAGGUAGUUGGGUUGAGUAUACUAAGGCGCUCGAGUUAGCCGCGGUUAAGGAACUAGGCAAAUUGGUCCUGUAACUUCGGGAUAAAGGACGCCGUUGUGGCGACACAACGGCCGCAGAGAAUAGGCCCACGCGACUGUUUAUCAAAAACAUAUGGCUAUGCGAAUUAGAAAUAAGAAGUAUAUAGCCUGACACCUGCCCGGUGCUGGAAGGUUAAGAGGAGAGGUCAAACGUAAGUUGAAGCCUUGAAUUGAAGCCCCAGUAAACGGCGGCCGUAACUAUAACGGUCCUAAGGUAGCGAAAUUCCUUGUCGGGUAAGUUCCGACCUGCACGAAUGGUGUAA
RNAcentral lists this ribosomal RNA (1370 nucleotides) under human gut metagenome. RNAcentral describes it as "bacterial LSU rRNA". It matches the Rfam family "Bacterial large subunit ribosomal RNA", at positions 636 to 2004 of the family's 2925-position model. The record is from RNAcentral.